RNAcentral lists this ribosomal RNA (405 nucleotides) under uncultured bacterium. RNAcentral describes it as "bacterial SSU rRNA". It matches the Rfam family "Bacterial small subunit ribosomal RNA", at positions 355 to 776 of the family's 1533-position model. The record is from RNAcentral.
UAGGGAAUAUUGCACAAUGGGCGAAAGCCUGAUGCAGCAACGCCGCGUGCACGAUGAAGGCCCUCGGGUCGUAAAGUGCUUUUCGGGGAGAUGAGCAAGGACAGUAUCCCCGGAAUAAGGCUCGGCUAACUACGUGCCAGCAGCCGCGGUAAAACGUAGGAGCCAAGCGUUAUCCGAAUUCACUGGGCGUAAAGCGCGUGCAGGCGGCUUGGUAAGUUGGGUGUGAAAUCUCCUGGCUCAACUAGGAGAGGACGUCCAAUACUGUCGAGCUAGAGGGCGAUAGAGGGAGGUGGAAUUCCGGGUGUAGUGGUGAAAUGCGUAGAUAUCCGGAGGAACACCAGUGGCGAAAGCGGCCUCCUGGGUCGCACCUGACGCUCAGACGCGAAAGCUAGGGGAGCGAACGGG